RNAcentral lists this ribosomal RNA (255 nucleotides) under uncultured bacterium. RNAcentral describes it as "partial 16S ribosomal RNA". It matches the Rfam family "Bacterial small subunit ribosomal RNA", at positions 526 to 779 of the family's 1533-position model. The record is from RNAcentral.
CGUAAGGACCGAGCGUUGUCCGGAAUCAUUGGGCGUAAAGGGUACGUAGGCGGCUAGAAAAGUUAGAAGUCAAAGGCUAUAGCUCAACUAUAGUAAGCUUCUAAAACUAUUUAGCUUUGAGAAAUGGAAGGGAAAGUGGAAUUCCUAGUGUAGCGGUGGAAUGCGCAGAUAUUAGGAAGAAUACCGGUGGCGAAGGCGACUUUCUGGCCAUUUAUCUGACGCUGAGGUACGAAAGCGUGGGUAGCAAACAGGAUU